AUACAUUUCAUGCAUGGGGGAUGCUGUCACACAGUAAAAUAAUGAAAAGCAGACAGUGUUAGUGACAAGUCAUGUUUGCUUGCUGGACCAAUCAGCAGAAGAAGGGAAAUUAAAAGCUACCUAUUUUCAGAUACAUAAUAUAAAAACUGUAUUUUAUAAAGAAAAUUACAUCUCUCUCCAGCUAUUCAAAUAUGGUAAGAAACUAUAGAUAAACCAAAGAUUUUUUACGUUGGGUGUUUUUUGUUAUAGCAUUUCUGAGUCCAAUGCAAUGCUUCAUCAAAUUGAGUGAACAGGAAUUUUCGGAGGUCAUUAAAUGUCCAGUGUUACACAGUAUUAUACAGACAGUGUUUAUCUCCUGAUUUAAAUAUGAAAUUUCCUUUGGGUAAACUCAGUUUAUAAUAGUCACAGUGUCUAAUUUGGUUUUGGUUUUUUUGGUUUUUGUUUUGUUUUGUUUUUGUUUUUUUUUUUACUUUCAGUACAAAACCUGUCAAAGAAGAAAUAUUUUCAACAUGAAAGGCACCUUUUUUCUUUGCAUUCUUACUAUGGCAUUGUCCGGCAGGCAGAUUAUUUGUUUCCAAGACAGCAUAAAUCACCAAGUGUCACUGAGAAAGUGAGGAGGAAAACAGAAAGAAGCAUCAGGGAGAGCACUGCAAGAGAUCUUCCAAAGCAUAAAUCCAGUGCCAGUGUUUUAGCCUGACAAGAAAUAAACCUUUGACUGUUCAGGACAUGGCUCUGAAGCAUCCAGGGCAGGGAUGAAACAUGGAACAUCUGAAGCCCCACUGACUGCAUAUGAGAAGACAGCAGAGGAAAGAAGCAACCAGCCUUAAGAAAAUGCUAGCAUUGAACACAGCCACGUUUUCCUCUAGAAGACCCACAAGUCCCAAGAAAGACAGUGUGCAGCUGUGACAGAUUGCUGUAUUGUUUUUGCAAGGCUCUCUGAAGAAUGAGCAGUUGUCUUCUCUGUCCUUCACGACAGCUGGUUGAUAUCCAUAAGGCUUCCUGGAGCUCUGCUUCCUCUUGGAAGAAAAUCUGGAAUUCUGUUUUCUUCUGUAUUCUUGUUUUUGUUUUUUUUUUUUUACUGGAGUGUUUAAGCUAAAAAUGUAUCAAAAUUCUGUGGUGAAACUUAGGCAUGAGAAUCCAAUUCAAUAACUUAAUUUCUGCUUAAAA
This is a long non-coding RNA of Haemorhous mexicanus (house finch), 1167 nucleotides long. RefSeq lists it as uncharacterized. The record is from RefSeq and is a predicted model, not a curated record. The transcript has 5 exons. Lineage: Eukaryota; Metazoa; Chordata; Aves; Passeriformes; Fringillidae.